UACGAAGGGUGCAAACGUUGCUCGGAAUUAUUGGGCGUAAAGCGCACGUAGGCGGCUCUACAAGUCGGAUGUGAAAUCCCUCGGCUUAACCAAGGAAGUGCAUCCGAAACUGCAGAGCUUGAGUACCAAAGAGGAUCGCGGAAUUCCCGGUGUAGAGGUGAAAUUCGUAGAUAUCGGGAGGAACACCAGUGGCGAAGGCGGCGAUCUGGGUGGAUACUGACGCUGAGGUGCGAAAGCGUGGGGAGCGAACAGG
This 253-nucleotide ribosomal RNA is filed under the name uncultured bacterium. RNAcentral's name for it is "partial 16S ribosomal RNA". It matches the Rfam family "Bacterial small subunit ribosomal RNA", at positions 524 to 776 of the family's 1533-position model. The record is from RNAcentral.